This 87-nucleotide non-coding RNA is filed under the name Pseudomonas sp. ok266. Lineage: Bacteria; Pseudomonadati; Pseudomonadota; Gammaproteobacteria; Pseudomonadales; Pseudomonadaceae. RNAcentral also lists the same sequence under 1 other name. The record is from RNAcentral.
CGUUAUGGCGGCUGUGCGCGGGAGACCUUCGGGUCAACCGGGUUCUCCGUUCCCCGGGUUUCCAACCUGCGUACAGCUGCCACCUAU